GCUUUAGAAGAGGACAUUCAACUGAAUUGGCUUGCUUUGAUUUAGUUAAAUAUGUAUCUGAAAGCCUGAACAGCAAAAUACCAAUAUUGUCAAUAUUUUUAGACUUAAGUAAGGCCUUGAAUGCUAUGGGAUUAGAGGAGUUGCACUUGAUUGGAUAAAAAGCUACUUGUCACAAAGAAAACAAUGUACUGAAGUAGUAAAAAUAGAAAAAGUAGGUAAGAGUUUUGGUUAAAGCCAAAUAUCGUUCAGAUUUUCGUGAGGUACAACUAGGUGUUCCUCAAGGGAGCAACUUAGGUCCCCUAUUGUUUUUAGUAUACAUCAAUGAUCUACCACGGGCAAUCUCGCAUAAGUGUAUACUAUUUGCAGAUGACACAACUUUAUUAAUAUGGGGUGAGAAAGUUGAUACAUACGAGACUAUCGUAAAUAAUGCAUUGGUUGACAUUAACAAUUGGACAUGUAAAAAUAAUUUAAAUAUCAA
Cydia strobilella is the source of this 478-nucleotide long non-coding RNA. RefSeq lists it as uncharacterized. The transcript has 2 exons. Lineage: Eukaryota; Metazoa; Arthropoda; Insecta; Lepidoptera; Tortricidae. The record is from RefSeq and is a predicted model, not a curated record.